Molecule: ribosomal RNA, 368 nt
Filed under: uncultured archaeon
Lineage: Archaea
Description: bacterial SSU rRNA
Rfam family: Archaeal small subunit ribosomal RNA
Source: RNAcentral
CGGUGCCAGCCGCCGCGGUAACACCGGCGGCCCGAGUGGUGAUCGUGAUUAUUGGGUCUAAAGGGUCCGUAGCCGGUUUGGUCAGUCCUCCGGGAAAUCUGAUGGCUCAACCAUUAGGCUUUCGGGGGAUACUGCCAGGCUUGGAACCGGGAGAGGUAAGAGGUACUACAGGGGUAGGAGUGAAAUCUUGUAAUCCCUGUGAGACCACCUGUGGCGAAGGCGUCUUACCAGAACGGGUUCGACKKUKWGKGACGAAAGCUGGGGGCACGAACCGGAUUAGAUACCCGGGUAGUCCCAGCCGUAAACGAUGCUCGCUAGGUGUCAGGCAUGGCGCGACCGUGUCUGGUGCCGCAGGGAAGCCGUGAAGC